Molecule: ribosomal RNA, 254 nt
Filed under: uncultured bacterium
Lineage: Bacteria
Description: partial 16S ribosomal RNA
Rfam family: Bacterial small subunit ribosomal RNA
Source: RNAcentral
UACGUAGGUGGCAGGCGUUUGUCCGGAAUUAUUGGACGUAAAGCGCGCGCAGGCGGCCUCUUAAGUCUGAUGUGAAAGCCCCCGGCUCAACCGGGGAGGGCCAUUGGAAACUGGGAGGCUUGAGUAUAGGAGAGAAGAGUGGAAUUCCACGUGUAGCGGUGAAAUGCGUAGAGAUGUGGAGGAACACCAGUGGCGAAGGCGACUCUUUGGCCUAUAACUGACGCUGAGGCGCGAAAGCGUGGGGAGCAAACAGG